GCUCUCAGGACAGAUAGCUCAGUUGGUAGAGCAUGAGACUCAAAGGGUGAGAUCUCUGGGUUGGGGGGUUCGAGCCCCACAUUGGGCA
Podarcis lilfordi (Lilford's wall lizard) is the source of this 88-nucleotide non-coding RNA. Lineage: Eukaryota; Metazoa; Chordata; Lepidosauria; Squamata; Lacertidae. The record is from the annotation of a GenBank genome assembly.